RNAcentral lists this ribosomal RNA (440 nucleotides) under uncultured bacterium. Its description in RNAcentral is "partial 16S ribosomal RNA". It matches the Rfam family "Bacterial small subunit ribosomal RNA", at positions 338 to 795 of the family's 1533-position model. The record is from RNAcentral.
CCUACGGGGGGCAGCAGUAGGGAAUAUUGCUCAAUGGGGGAAACCCUGAAGCAGCAACGCCGCGUGGAGGAUGAAGGUUUUAGGAUUGUAAACUCCUUUUGUUAGAGAAGAUUAUGACGGUAUCUAACGAAUAAGCACCGGCUAACCCCGUGCCAGCAGCCGCGGUCAUCCGGAGGGUGCAAGCGUUACUCGGAAUCACUGGGCGUAAAGCGUGCGUAGGCGGGGUAAUAAGUCAGACGUGAAAUCCUGUAGCUUAACUACAGAACUGCAUUUGAAACUGUUACCCUGGAGUGUGGGAGAGGUAGGUGGAAUUCUUGGUGUAGGGGUAAAAUGCGUAGAGAUCAAGAGGAAUACUGAUUGCGAAGGCGACCUGCUGGAACAUUACUGACGCUGAUGCACGAAAGCGUGGGGAGCAAACAGGAUUAGAUACCCCUGUAGUC